This 412-nucleotide ribosomal RNA is filed under the name uncultured bacterium. RNAcentral's name for it is "bacterial SSU rRNA". It matches the Rfam family "Bacterial small subunit ribosomal RNA", at positions 362 to 758 of the family's 1533-position model. The record is from RNAcentral.
UUUUGGACAAUGGGCGCAAGCCUGAUCCAGCCAUUCCGCGUGAGUGAAGAAGGCCUUCGGGUUGUAAAGCUCCUUUCCCCCCCGAAGAAAAGAUUACUCUCUAAUAUAGAGGUAUUUUGACGGUACCGGAAUAAGAAAGCACCGGCUAAACUUCGUGCCAGCAGCCGCGGUAAUACGUAGGGGUGCGAGCGUGUAUUCGGAAUUUACUGGGGGGUAAAGCGGGCGUAGGCGGGUUUGUAAGUUAAGAUGUGAAAUCCCCGAGCUCAAUUUGGGACCUGCGGUUUAAACUACAAGUCUAGAAUAGGUCAGAGGGGGGUAGAAUUCCACGUGUAGCAGUGAAAUGCGUAGAGAUGGGAGGAACAUCAAAGGCGAAGGCAGCCCCCUGGGGUAACAUUGACGCUAAGGCACGAGG